Seriola aureovittata is the source of this 7807-nucleotide RNA transcript. It is a transcript of the gene named fer-1 like family member 6, with no coding region annotated. The record is from RefSeq and is a predicted model, not a curated record. Lineage: Eukaryota; Metazoa; Chordata; Actinopteri; Carangiformes; Carangidae. The transcript is spliced from 50 exons.
AGCUGGUUAAACAUGGAGAGAGAUAGGAGGAACAUAUUUUCUUUAGAGCGAAGAGGAAGGAGCUGAGCUCGGCAGUCAGGUUUAAUCCACGAGUGCAGAGGUAUUUAAAGCCGAGACUGGACAUGAGGUCGUGUGGAGAGUGAGGUUAUUUGUGAGGAGCUGAAGGAUGUUUGGAUAAGUCUUUAUUUACAGUCAUGUCAAAUGAUAAAGGGACUUCGAGAGAAGAAAAGGCUGUAAAGACUGAACAAACUGAGUUGAGCAGAGGAGAUAAUUAGUUGCUGGAAAUUGGCCAAGGCUAUUAAUCCUAAAAACAGGGGAUGGUAGUGCGCUGUGUUAUUCAGCUUUGGUCAGGAGAGAAACCAUGUCGUAGCAUCAGCAGAGAGAGAGAGAGAGAGAGAGAGAGAGAGAGAGAGAGAGAAGGUGAAUAAUCCUCUGACAUCCUCAAACAGUCAGUGGCCAGAAAAACAGAAAAGCAGAAAGGUUUAAUUCAUUGAAGUGGAAGCGAAGGAUGCGGGAUGGAUCCGUUUGAGAGUCCUGCAACCCAGCGGCGUAAGGCCAAGCUGAUGUUUGGCCUGAAAAUGAAGAAGAAGAAGAAGAAGAAGAAGGUCAACACAGACCUGGUCCUGGCAAACAAGGGAGCUGUGGACAGUGAAGCAGAAGUGCCGUCAGAAGAGUCUCCCCUGCUGGAAGGAGAAAACACUGAGGAUCAAGCAGGAAGCUCUGCAGUCAGAACCAGAAUAAUACCACACAACAAGAGGUCCAAACUGAAAACUCGCGUCCAGGAGAGUGAAUGGAAACCACAGAGCUUCCAGAUUUCCAUUAACAUCACUGAGGCCAGGCAGCUGGUGGGGGAGAACAUCGACCCCAGUGUGGUGAUCGAGAUCGGUGAUGAGAAGAAACAGACGUCAGUCAAAGAAGGAACCAACGCUCCUUUUUACAAUGAGUAUUUCGUGUUUGACUUCUUCGCCCACAAAGAGGUCUUCUUCGACAAAGUUAUCAAGCUCACGGUGAUGCACUCUAAGAUGCUGCGGAGUUUCUGUAUCGGCUCCUUUAAGCUGGAUGUGUGGACAGUCUACAAACAGCCAGGUCACCAGUUUGUCAAUAAGUGGGCCAUGCUGACCAAUCCUGGUGACAUCAGCACUGGGGUCAAAGGUUAUGUCAAGUGUGACAUCAGCGUCUCAGCAAAAGGAGACUCCGUGCAACCCGGUCCAAAAACGAGUGAUGCUGAAGAGCAGAUAGAUAAGAACCUGCUGAUACCAGAGGGUUUUCCCUCCGAACGACCCUGGGCCCGUUUCUGUGUGAAGGUGUAUCGCGCUGAAGGUCUUCCCCGGAACAACUCCAGCAUCAUGGCCAACGUCACCAAGGCCUUCAUAGGAGAUAACACGGCACUCAUAGACCCAUACGUAGUGGUCAGCUUCUUCAAACAAGUGGGUCGCACAUCCACUCAGAAGUCCACAGCAGACCCGGUGUGGAACGAGCAGAUUGUCUUCACGGAGAUGUUUCCUCCUCUGUGUCAGAGACUGAAGAUCCAGGUCUGGGAUGAGGGAAGCAUGAGUGAUGUUGCCAUAGGAACCCAUUACUUUGACCUGAGACGCAUCUCCAACGAACAGGAUGGUGACAGAGGGUUUUUACCAACCUUCGGUCCCGCUUGGAUCAACAUUUACGGCUCGGCCCGAAACUUUUCAUUAGGCGACGACACUGUGGAGCUGAACGAGGGCAUCGGAGAGGGCGUGUCAUACAGGGGGCGGGUCUACAUGGAGCUGGCAGUGGAGAUCCUAUCAGGAGGGACGGGUUCGGAGUCCAAACUCAUUCGAAUGAUCAAGCCCGCGAAGGACACUAAAGCAGGAAAGGCCGGAGGGAAGGAUGGGAAGACUGUUGCAGGAGGAGGAGCGGGAGGAGCAGCAGGAGGAGCCGCUGAUGACGACAAAGGGAAAGCUUUGGCUGCAGAGGUCCUGCCUGUGGAAUCUCCCUCUGUGCUGGAUGCCGACAAGGAGACCUUCCUGCUGUUUGGUGUUUUGUUUGAAGCCGCCGUGAUUGACAGAAAGAUUGGAGACAAACCAAUCAGCUUCGAGUUCUCCCUGGGUAACUACGGUAACACCUUAGAGCCGACGGGCCAGCCCAGCCACAGCGCCAGUCCUGCUGUCCCUCGGAGGAGAAGAGCACUGGACGUCCCAGAAAGCAGUGACAUCCUCGGCUCCUCCCCUCUCAGCUCCCCCCCGAACUCCCCGUCUUCCCCCCUCCUACCCAGAGACCUUCAGGACACUGCCUCCAAGUCCACCACCUGUCCUGAAAAACCGCUCAUCGUCGAAGGAAACAGGCACUACAUGCAUCUGCCCCUGGAGAAGCAGAAGCCGUGUAUUAAUGUGCUGAGUUACUGGGAGGACAGAGCUUACAGACUCUACAACUCGAAUAUGCUGGAGAGCAUAGCUGUUCUGUUUGAAGAGGGCGUGGCCAUUGCAGCAGAGCUACACAGGAAGUCAGAUCCUGGGGCGGAGAAUAUGCUCAAAACCAUCCUUAAAGAAUUCUGUAUGGAUGCCAGGAGUUUCAUAGCAGCAGCAGAGGCCAAGCUGAAGGCGGAGCUAAAGUCCAGUUACCUGACACAGCUGGACAAGAAACGCCUCACCAUGUGUACACAGGAGCUGGAUGGUAUGAUAGAAGAGGCCCAGUCUUUGGGAGAAAGGAAGAGAAAAGCUGGUGGAGUGAAAGAAAUGCUGCUGGACGCAACAAAACUCACACAAAGACUACGCUUUCUUGUGCAGGAGCCCCAGCACACAGUACCUGACGUGUUUGUGUGGUUGCUAAGCAAUAACAAGCGUGUUGCGUACGCCCGGGUCCGAGCCAGAGACCUGCUGUUCUCCAGCAGCCAGGAGGCCCGAGGGAUCCACUGCGGCAAGAUAAUAACACUGUUCCUGAAGCCUCCAGGGAAGCGUGUUGCCGGCUUGUCAGUCCAAGCAAAGCUGGAUGUGUAUCUGUGGUUUGGAACCUGUUCAGACUCCCGCCACAUGCUGGACGACCUGCCUGCAGGAUUCACUCCGACCAGAGGGGGCGCUGAUUCCAACAGCCCUCCCACACACCUGCUCUGCACAGAGCAGCAUCGGUUCCAGCUGAGGUGCCACAUGUAUCAGGCUCGUGGUCUGAUCGCUGCCGACAGCUCCGGCCUGUCCGACCCUUUCGCUCGCGUCACCUACCUGUCACACAGCCAAACCACCAAUAUUAUCAGUCAGACUCUCAGUCCUACAUGGAACCAGUGUUUGCCGAUGGGUCGUCUGCUGCUGAGUGGAGAUCUGCAGUACAUCCAGCAGGAGCCGCCACGCAUCCUCAUCGAGGUGUACGACGACGACGCACUGGGCAAGGCAGAGUACCUGGGAGCCACAGUAGCAGUGCCUGAGGUUCGGUUGUCCUCUGACAGCUACUCGCCUCCAACACUGCAAUACAGCCCCCUGCACUGCGGCAGCCAGCCAGGAGGAGACCUGCUGGCUGCAUUUGAACUGCUGCAGAUCCCAGAGUCUGGAGAGCAGAAUCUGCCGCCGCUGGAGGAAGAGGAAGGAGGCAUCUACACGGUUCCUGCCAACAUCAGACCCGUUCUCAGCACCUACAGGCUGGAGGUUUUAUUCUGGGGCCUGAGGGAGCUGAAGAAGGUUCAGCUCCUGUCUGUCGAUCGCCCACAGGUCUUUAUUGAGUGUGCAGGUAAAACUUUGCGUUCCUCCGUCAUUCAGAAGUACAAGUCCAACCCAAACUUCAGUACGCUGGUUGAUGCCAUAGAGCUGGAGUUACCAGAGAACGAACACCUCCACCCUCCUCUCAGUAUCACUGUCGUGGACUGGCGGGCCUUCGGUCGCAGCACGCUGGUCGGGAACCACAUCAUCAACAACCUCAAGGCCUUCAAAUACACUCCGCCUCCGGCCCUGCCUGCUCCCGUACAGACACACCCACCACCCAAAGUCACAUACACCGCUGAACCUGCACCGACGCCAGAGCCGCAGAGCGCUGAGGGACAGCCACAGCAUGCUGGAGAGACCAGCUCCACUGUGGCACUAACAAAUCAGGAUUUCCUUAUCACUAUUGAUGAUGAAGCCCCGCCUCCAGCCCCGCCCACUCCUAAGCAAGAACCCAGGAAGAAAAAGGAGAGCGGCAUGAGGAGCACCCACCGAUCCACCAAGCGGAGGAGGCGGACCAUCGCUGACGAAUCGGCAGAGUGUGUUAUCGACUGGUGGUCCAAAUACUACGCGUCUGUAGAGAAGCAGGUCAAACAGAGGGACGGCUCCCCGUUCCCCCAGGUCUUUGAAAAAGCUUCGCCGUUCCACAGUUUGCUCAGCGAUGGAAUAGACUCUCUGGUCAGCUCCCACUCGGACGGAGACAAGAAGAAAAAGCAGAAAGGAAAAGGAACUCUGGAGCCGAAUGUUGGUCUGGCCACUAAACUAGCCACACUCAAGCUGUACAACAGGGAGCUGGAGGCGGAGUUCGGGCCGUUCGAUGACUGGGUGAACACCUACGAGCUGUUUAGAGGGAAAGCCGGUGAGGAAGAUGGGCCGAGUGAUGAGAGGUUUGUCGGCAAAUUUAAGGGGAGAUUCUGCCUGUACAAGCUUACCGAGGACGAGGCAGAGGACUGGGAUGAAACCGCAGACACGGGACACUUCAAAGUCAGCAGAGGAAUCCCUCCCAACGGCCCGGUCCAAGUCCUCAUACGGGUUUACAUAGUCUCUGCGUCCAACCUGCACCCAGCUGACUCGGAUGGGAAGGCGGACCCCUACAUUGUGGUUCGCCUCGGCAAAAAUGAAAUCAAAGACAGAGACAACUACAUUCCUAAACAGCUCAAUCCCGUGUUUGGAAGGUCUUUUGAGAUGCAGGCGACCUUCCCUCAGGAGUCUCUGCUGUCAGUGCUGAUCUACGACUACGACCUGGUGGGAGGGGACGACCUGAUCGGAGAGACUCGCAUUGACCUGGAGAACCGGUUCUACAGCCGACACAGAGCCACCUGCGGACUCCCCACCGAGUACAGUCUUGAUGGUUAUAAUGCCUGGAGAGACUGUCUGAAGCCGUCGGAGCUGUUGUCUAAGCUUUGCAGAGAAAACGGAUUGGACGGUCCUCAUUUCAGACCAGGACGCAUCACUGUGGCAGAAAAAGUCUUCACUGGCAAAACACUCUUCAUGCAUGAAGACCAGCCGGUGGAGUCCUAUGAGCACUUGUCUCUGAAGAUCCUGCACCGCUGGGCAGAGAUGCCAGAUGUGGGAUGUAAGCUGGUACCAGAACACAUCGAGACCAGAACUCUGUUCCACAAGGCCCGGCCCGGCAUGGACCAGGGUCAGGUACAGAUGUGGGUUGACUUGUUUCCCAUGGAUUUGCCUCAUCCUGGACCUUCAGUGGACAUUUCACCUCGGAAACCAAAAGGGUACGAGCUGCGAAUCAUCAUCUGGAACACAGAGGAUGUGAUUCUGGAGGACAGUAACUUCCUGACUGGUCAACAGUCCAGUGAUAUCUAUGUCAAGGGCUGGUUGAAAGGUUUAGAGGACGACCGACAAGAGACUGAUGUUCACUACAACUCUCUGACUGGAGAAGGAAACUUCAACUGGCGCUUUGUCUUCCCCUUCAGCUACCUGCCUGCUGAAAAGGUGAUAGUGGUGAGAAAAAGAGAGAACAUUUUCUCUCUGGAUAAAACAGAGCAGAAGCUUCCUGCCAUCCUUAUUCUGCAGGUCUGGGACUUUGAGACACUGUCCUCUGAUGACUUCCUAGGCACUGUGGAGUUGGACCUCCAUGGUUUCACUCGUGGGGCAAAGACGGCCAAGUCCUGUAAGGCAGACAUGUUGACGGAUGGGACAGAGAAAAUCUCCAUAUUCCAACAGAAGAGAGCGAGAGGCUGGUGGCCCUUCAGCAAAUCUGGAGAGCUGACUGGGAAGGUGGAGGCGGAGUUUCACCUUGUAACUGCUGAGGAGGCGGAGAAAAAUCCUGUCGGCAAAGCCCGCAAGGAGCCGGAGCCACUUCCAAAACCAAAUCGUCCAGACACAUCCUUCUCCUGGUUCGUCAACCCAUUCAAGUGUUUCUUCCACCUAGUGUGGAGAAGCUACAAGAAGUACAUCAUCAUCGCCCUGCUCCUGCUCAUCACACUGCUGUUCCUCGCCCUGCUCUUCUACACACUGCCAGGAGCCAUCUCUAACAAGAUAGUGGAAGGAUAAAUCUUUUACAUAACAUGAGAUGCGUGCUCAAACGGGCGAAUUGGAGAUUUUCCCCUGAUGUCGUCAAGAAGGGCGAUGCCACCUCCCCCCGGCUGACACUCCCCGAGCUAGGUGUGUGUUCCGCCCACUGAGUCCGUGUUGCAGACGGUAUCGUUACUUCCCUCGCGAACACUGGCUUUCGGUAGAACAAUGUCGAAGGUAUGAGCGAAAAACAGUAGUUGCUUUGUUGUUGGCUGCACAAACCAACACAGAAGUCUUUUUUUAACACCUACACCCGAGGAUCUGAAGACCCAGUGGAUUCAUUUUAUUUUUGAUGGAAAUGUACCCGCUCCAACUCUGAAAGUGUUGUACGUGUGUGCUAACCAUUUCACCUCGGACUGCUUUCUCAACGAGGGCCAGUACAACGCAGGAUUUGCUACAAGUCUCAAGAUAAAGCUUGAAUCAGUACCAACUGUCCGUGACCCAACUUUGAACUUGGGAGCUCACAUCAAGUGCAUCUAUACAGCUUCCUGCAACAAGGGAUGUUGCAUGCCAGACUGACCCACUGUAGGCCCACAGUUAUCCUUGAAGACUCUUCAGCCUCACAUCAGAAGUACAGGUCUGUAGCCAUCGGAAGUGCAUCCAGUCACUUAUCAGUCUUGGAAUAAUGUGCAGACUCUACCUGGCUGCCACGUACUACAAUGAAAAUGCUGACCGACCAAACAAAAGAAGGAGAACCACUGUUCAAGGUCCAAUUUCCAAAGGGAAUGUGGUGGACCUCAGAUUUGAAAAAGUCUUUGUUGACCUGGGAUCAUACACAGAAGCUGCUUUGGCCAUCCCCAUCCCAGAGGACCUCACUGCACAGUUGGAGCGGCCUGAGAAGGAGGAGGUCAUAUCCAGCUCUGUGUCCCGGUUCCAUCAUGGGGCAGUCUAAAACCCACGUACUGGGGCAUGUGGCGUCAGGAAACUCGGCAUGGAUGCGCAGGACCAGGCAGGCUGGAAUGACGACCCAGAUUCUGCGACAAAGGAAGCCCCAGCACCAGCUCACAAAGCUCCGAUAGACUAGAUACCUGUACUGACUAAAACAACUGGACGGGGCAUUUAGUCUUGCAAACAUAUAUCUAUGAUGUGUCUCACAAUUUUUUUUUUAUGGAUCCAGUCAAUCCUACAGUUUUUUUAUUAUCACUGAUUAUAAGUGCCUCAUUUGAUGUAAAUAAAUGCUUGAUUGUUACUAAAGAAAUGACUCCUCUGAAUUCAUAUAUUAUAUGCACACUAUCUGCUGAUAGAAGAACUUUACAAAUCAAAGAGCAGCUAAACUAAUUUAUUUGAGGGUUUGUUACUCUAUUUGUGGUCUGUUAUUAUCAUUGUAAAAUUAUGUGCACUGAAGUAAAACAAGACUGCCUAACAUAUUUUACAAAGAAGCAAAACGUACUGGUGUAUUCCUCUCAACCAUAAAGUACCGUAGUCAGCGCAGUACAUGUUGCAGGGGAGAACACAUUGAGGCAGAGCGGCUCCAACCCAGGACGGUCUACCAUACAUGGUAAAUCUUCCUCGAUCUCCCAUAGCCAUCUGGUAACCUACAGUGAAUUGCAAAUGGUAAAUGCUAUGGUUUAUUAUUAAUGUAAUCAAAACAAAUUAGUGAUUAGUUUGUCCAGUGA